CGGGGUGCAGCAGGCGCGAAAACUUUACAAUGCCGGCAACGGCGAUAAGGGGACCUCGAGUGCCAGGUUACAAAUCUGGCUGUCGUGAUGCCUAAAAAGCAUUGCAUAGCAAGGGCCGGGCAAGACCGGUGCCAGCCGCCGCGGUAACACCGGCGGCUCGAGUGGUAACCGUUAUUAUUGGGUCUAAAGGGUCUGUAGCCGGCCGGAUAAGUCUCUUGGGAAAUCUGGCAGCUUAACUGUCAGGCUUUCAGGAGAUACUGUCUGGCUCGAGGCCGGGAGAGGUGAGAGGUACUUCAGGGGUAGGGGUGAAAUCUUGUAAUCCUUGAAGGACCACCAGUGGCGAAGGCGUCUCACCAGAACGGACCUGACGGCAAGGGACGAAAGCUAGGGGCACGAACCGGAUUAGAUACCCGGGUAGUCCUAGCCGUAAACGAUACUCGCUAGGUGUCGGCCACGGUGCGACCGUGGUCGGUGCCGUAGGGAAGCCGUGAAGCGAGCCACCUGGGAAGUACGGCCGCAAGGCUGAAACUUAAAGGAAUUGGCGGGGGAGCACAAGGGCGAUUCGCGG
Molecule: ribosomal RNA, 568 nt
Filed under: uncultured archaeon
Lineage: Archaea
Description: bacterial SSU rRNA
Rfam family: Archaeal small subunit ribosomal RNA
Source: RNAcentral